UACAGAGGUCCCGAGCGUUGUUCGGAUUCAUUGGGCGUAAAGGGUGCGUAGGCGGCGGGGCAAGUCUGAUGUGAAAUCCCGGGGCUCAACCCCGGAACUGCAUUGGAUACUGCCUUGCUAGAGUACUGGAGAGGGAACUGGAAUUUACGGUGUAGCAGUGAAAUGCGUAGAUAUCGUAAGGAAGACCAGUGGCGAAGGCGGAUCUCUGGACAGUUACUGACACUGAGGCACGAAGGCCAGGGGAGCAAACGGG
This 253-nucleotide ribosomal RNA is filed under the name uncultured bacterium. Its description in RNAcentral is "partial 16S ribosomal RNA". It matches the Rfam family "Bacterial small subunit ribosomal RNA", at positions 524 to 776 of the family's 1533-position model. The record is from RNAcentral.